Coregonus clupeaformis (lake whitefish) is the source of this 226-nucleotide long non-coding RNA. RefSeq lists it as uncharacterized. The record is from RefSeq and is a predicted model, not a curated record. NCBI's taxonomy places the organism in Eukaryota, Metazoa, Chordata, Actinopteri, Salmoniformes, Salmonidae. The transcript is spliced from 3 exons.
CCACAAUGUUGCUGUGUCCACUCCUUUUACAGAAAGAGGAAGUUGAGUCAAGCCACAGGAACUGUAGGGGUCCAGUCCGGAGGAAACGCUGGUGUCUUCAGUCCCUUACCAGAGGCUCAGAAUGGAGCACACUUCACUUUAUAUGCUGCUCUUGCUGAGUGCAUUAUUCAUCUGUGGACACACUAAAGGUGAGUAAGUAAUCAAUACAUAUUUGUCUGCAUUUCAU